Molecule: unclassified non-coding RNA, 417 nt
Filed under: Hevea brasiliensis (rubber tree)
Lineage: Eukaryota; Viridiplantae; Streptophyta; Magnoliopsida; Malpighiales; Euphorbiaceae
Source: RNAcentral
GCUUUUCUUUCCUCGACACUUCCCAGAUUGGCUGGAGAUGCCAGGAUCAUUGAUACUUCUUCUGGUUGUGGCUCCCAGUUUCUUUGCUCACACCUUGAAGGACAGCUGGGUUGGUGUCUUGAUAUGCCUCUUGAUUNAUCAUUGGUUGUUACUUGCUGCAAGAGCACAUCAGGGCAUCUGGUGGAUUCAGAAACUCCUUCACACAAUCCCAUGGAAUAUCAAACACUGUUGGCAUUAUCUUGCUGUUGGUUUACCCAGUAUGGGCACUGGUACUCCACUUCAUCUAGGCGAUUAUAAUAGCCCAAUGAAUUGGACUAGUCAACUGGAACUUGAACAAUCAUUUUCAUGUCUUAUGCUUAAAUCUAUUCAAAUCUUAGAAAUAGAUUUAAGCAUAAGACAUGAAAAUGAUUGUUCAAG